UUCCCAGAUCUUCUUGGCUUAGCUGCUGAAGACUGACACUGCCCGAUCGCCCCAGAAGCCCCCUAGACCAUCACGGACGCCGAGCUUCGGGUAACUCUCACAGAGGAAGGUAAGCCCAUUCCCUUCUUAAUCAAUACGGAGGCUACUCAAUCCACAUUACCUUCUUUUCAAGGGCCUGUUUCCCUUGCCUCCAUAACUGGCCUUUUAAAGCCUGUAAACUCUCCUUACAAUUCCCCCAUUUUACCUGUCCUAAAACCAGACAAGCCUUACAAGUUAGUUCAGGAUCUGCGCCUUAUCAACCAAAUUGUUUUGCCUAUCCACCCCGUGGUGCCAAACCCAUAUACUCUCCUAUCCUCAAUACCUCCCUCCACAACCCAUUAUU
RNAcentral lists this long non-coding RNA (382 nucleotides) under Homo sapiens (human). RNAcentral describes it as "non-protein coding lnc-NTRK2-7:2". The record is from RNAcentral. Lineage: Eukaryota; Metazoa; Chordata; Mammalia; Primates; Hominidae.